AUGCUGCCGUUCUACAAGGAGCUGCCUUCGCCCGACCAGCUGGAGGCCCUCCUGAAGGACCACCACACCCGAGCCAAGGCGAACCUGUUCCAUCUGCUGAGGAGGAGGGGCGAAGUGGAGGACCUGAACGACUACACGGCCCCCAUCGAGUCCGAGCCCCGGAGCCCCUGGCACUCCCGCGGCAGUCAGAGUGCCGUUGGCCACUCCGUCACGCUGAGCGUGGACGUCUGGCGCCACAGCUGGCAGGGCGGCACUGAGCACUACCUCACGCUCUGGGCUCACUUCAUAGACUGUAACUUUAGUUUCCACAACCUGGCGCUGGCGACCCGACGGCUGGCUGAAGGCGAGCAGGACAGCUUCCAGGCAGUGGAGAGUCGGGUGAAAGCCGUGGCCCUCGAGUGGGGCAUCUCCCAGCCGAGUCUGGUCCUGCUGGGUGGGCAGUGGAAGAACAGAGCGAGGAGGCCGGUGCAGGGGGGGGACGCUGCAGGAAGCGCCCCUCACCCCAACUCCACGACGUUUCUGGAGAGGGAGGACUCCACGUCGCCCGAUGAAGCGUCUGAGCUCGGCCCAUCCGGCGAAGGGCUCCCUUCCAUCCCCUGCUUCUUCAGCGCCGUGCGGGGCUGCGUCGAGGAGGUGAUGCUGCAUCCCGUCGUCUCCAAAACUCUCCGCCAGUUCCAGCUGUUUCUGUCCGCCCUGUUCCUGCCGCCCGCUCACAGUAAAGGCUGGUUUACCCUUGACGCCCAGAUCGUCCUGCAGGUCCUGACGAAGCAGGAGAAGGCCGACCUCAAGUCGUGGGCCCACAGCUGGCCGGCCUGGAAGAAGCUCUACCCUUUACUCAGCACGCUCGUCAAGCACAAAAGUGUCUUUGUUGAUUUAGUAAAAGACAUAAAAGACGAGGUUUUGCCUCCUGAGGACGUGGAGUCCAGCUCGUCUGGCAGCUGCUCUGCCAUCUCCACCUCCAACUCGUCCUCAGUCGGCGUCUCGGUCUCGCCUUCGGACUGGAGGGUUGUGGAGGACUUGUCCCUGGUCCUCAAGCCGCUGGACGUGGCCUGCAGGACUCUGGCCAAGGAGAGCUUCCCCCGCCUGUCCCUCAUCAAGCCCAUCCUGACCGGCCUGCUGUCGCGCCACCUCGUCUCGCGGCCGGCCGACUCGUCGUCCGUCCUGAAGGAGGUGAAGAAGACGAUGAGGAGACACCUGUCCAGCUGCUAUGGGAGCCCGGCGGUGAGCCGGGCCCUGAGCGUGGCGUGCUGCCUCGACCCGCAGUUCCACGGCCUGAGGUUCAUGGAGGAGAAGGAGCAGGCGGCCACGUUCGACUGGCUGAAGGAAGAGACGGCGAGGAUCGUGAAGGAGGACCGGAGGGGUCGAGGUAAGAAGAGGAGCCCCUCCCCGGGCUCGCCGGAGUCCGACAGCGACUGCCUGCGGAGGAGCAAACGCCUCAAGGAGUCUCGGCCGAUCAGCUUCAAGGAAACGUCUGAAGAGGAGGAGGAGAGCGACGUGGGAGACCCCGACGAGUCGGAGGCCGCGGAGCCCGGGUGUCAGGGCGCGCUGUCCGGGAUGGAGUUCCUGCUGGGAGACCUGUUCAGCCCGGCGCCCAGCAGCAGGCACAGCUCCGUGGAGGAGGCCCUGGACAUGGAGAUGUCGGUGUUCAGGGCCGGCCGGGGGGCCUCGCUGGGCGUGGAGCCCCUGCAGUGGUGGAGGACCAAGGCGGGGCAGUUUCCUCUGCUGGCCGCCGCGGCCCGGGCCUACCUGGCCGCCCCGGCCGCGGCGGGGAACGCCGCGCUGGACUUCGUGGAGGACGGAGCCAGCUCCAGGAAGAGAUCCAACAUCCCGCCGGAGAGUCUGGACGCCAUCUUGUUUCUCCAUUACAACAACAUACCAGUGACCGAGAGCAGUUAUACGACGACCACGAUGAUGACCAUGACGGCGGCGGCGGUGAAGAGCGAAGACAAGAGCAGUGGGAGUUAAAAAGAUGCAAGUUUAGAGCUUUAACCACACUAUUUCCACCAGAACGUCACAAAUCCAACACCAACACCCGUCAAUAAAUUCCACUUACUGCUGAUGGAGCUGCUGUUGACAACAAUAACUUCUAUCCUGAAAAUACAGAAUAUCCUGGAAUCGACCCAAAUAUUCCUCCUGGUGUGUGAAGCAGACGCUGUUGUAGUGAGUUCAGAGUGGAAAAUGUGUGUAUGACAGAGAGAGAGCGACGGCACUCUGGAUUUCUAACUGUCCACGCCAUGAAGCGUCUUCUGACUGAUAAAUGUUCAAAUUUAUCUUUAUUGAAAACAUGCAAAUUCAUCAAUAAGCUAUCCAAAUGCAGUGGGGAUGCAGAUGAGAGGAAGAACUUCCUCAUUUCCUCCUUGUCGAGUUUUAGUUUUACGUUUAGACGCAAACGUGACAGAAUUCUGCCAGUUGUCAUGUUAGACUGAGGGCUUUAUAUUUGGGCUUUUAAUUUGAUAUACCUUUUUUUUUUUACCAUUUCUUGACAAGUAUAUGUAGCUGAUUACAAAUGUGUGUAAUCCAGGGUUAUGAUAGUUUUGAAUAUUUUCAUUAGUUUUUUCAUUUUUGUCAUUUUGACGUCAUGCCUCUAAUUUUAGUUUAGUUUUAGUUUUUAUUCAUGACUGCUAGAUUUUAGUUUUAUGUUUUGCGUAUUGGUUAGUCCAAAUUAUAGUUUUUUUUUUUUUAGUUUGUUUUUCAUUUCUAGUUUUCUCCAGUUAACCGUCCUGACCUUGAUUCCCACCAGAGCUGUUAGGCUGAACGUCCCAAGAAAAACGUUUUGGUUGAAGUCUGGACUCGUAGUUUUUAUGUUAGAAGAUAUAUUAACACAUUGAUUAUGUUACGUGGAUCAAUAUUUUUACCGCUGCACACCUUCAGUCCGUGUGUCGAUACAGAGUUUGGACCUUUUCAGCAUUCAGUGCCUUUUUCUGUAGUUUCAACAUGGAUUUUCCUGUUUUAUCCCGUUUCUUUUGAAGUCUGUUUGAAUGUCGUCCACAUCUCAUUUAUCAUUAUUAUUGAUAUUUUCCGUUAUUCAGACUAGAACAAAACAAAGACUGUUGGUUAUCUGCGAGGCGUGCUGCUUCUUAAAUAACCAGACAGGGCAGAAAUGAGUGAAUUAACCUGAAUGUAGAACAAACUAGGACUGGAGCUCAGAAUCUCAGCUGUUCCGUCGUGUUUCAGCGCAGGACUGUGGGUUGUUUACACAAACAGAAACUCGGUAGCACAAAGUGUGUGUUGUCCUAAACUGUGACGCUGUUUGAGUUCUGUCAUUCAUGCAACUGGUGUGAAGUAACUGUACCUGCUGCAGAAGAUUUUUAAUAAAAUGUACCUUCACUGGAUUCAUGUUUCUGG
Salarias fasciatus (jewelled blenny) is the source of this 3345-nucleotide long non-coding RNA. The record is from Ensembl. Lineage: Eukaryota; Metazoa; Chordata; Actinopteri; Blenniiformes; Blenniidae.